RNAcentral lists this ribosomal RNA (428 nucleotides) under uncultured bacterium. Its description in RNAcentral is "bacterial SSU rRNA". It matches the Rfam family "Bacterial small subunit ribosomal RNA", at positions 354 to 796 of the family's 1533-position model. The record is from RNAcentral.
GUCAAGAAUCUUCCACAAUGGGGGAAACCCUGAUGGAGCGACACCGCGUGGGGGAAGAAGGCCUUCGGGUCGUAAACCCCUUUUGCACGGGACGAAGUAAUUGACGGUACCGUGAGAAUAAGAGGUUGCUAACUCUGUGCCAGCAGCAGCGGUAAUACAGAGACCUCAAGCGUUAUCCGGAUUUACUGGGCGUAAAGCGUCCGCAGGUGGUUCCAUAAGUCAUUCGUCAAAUCCUGGUGCUCAACAUCAGGGCUGCGGGUGAAACUAUGGAACUUGAGGCUGGGAGAGGGAAGGGGAACUGCCGGUGUAGUAGUAAAAUGCGUUAAUAUCGGCAGGAACACCAAAGGCGAAGGCACCUUCCUGGAACAGUCCUGACACUCAGGGACGAAAGCGUGGGGAGCAAAACGGAUUAGAAACCCUAGUAGUCC